RNAcentral lists this ribosomal RNA (253 nucleotides) under uncultured bacterium. RNAcentral's name for it is "partial 16S ribosomal RNA". It matches the Rfam family "Bacterial small subunit ribosomal RNA", at positions 524 to 776 of the family's 1533-position model. The record is from RNAcentral.
UACGUAGGGUCCAAGCGUUAAUCGGACUUACUGGGCGUAAAGCGUGCGCAGGCGGUUGUGUAAGACAGAUGUGAAAUCCCCGGGCUCAACCUGGGAACUGCAUUUGUGACUGCACAGCUGGAGUGCGGCAGAGGGGGAUGGAAUUCCUGGUGUAGCAGUGAAAUGCGUAGAUAUCAGGAGGAAUACCGAUGGCGAAGGCAGGUCUCUGGGCUGACACUGACGCUCAUGCACGAAAGCGUGGGGAGCAAACAGG